GACGAACGCUGGCGGCGUGCUUAACACAUGCAAGUCGAACGGAAAGGCCCUGCUUGCAGGGUACUCGAGUGGCGAACGGGUGAGUAACACGUGGGUGAUCUGCCCUGCACUACGGGAUAAGCCUGGGAAACUGGGUCUAAUACCGGAUAGGAGCCAUUUUUAGUGUGAUGGCUGGAAAGUUUUUUCGGUGUAGGAUGAGCUCGCGGCCUAUCAGCUUGUUGGUGGGGUAAUGGCCUACCAAGGCGGCGACGGGUAGCCGGCCUGAGAGGGUGGACGGCCACAUUGGGACUGAGAUACGGCCCAGACUCCUACGGGAGGCAGCAGUGGGGAAUAUUGCACAAUGGGCGCAAGCCUGAUGCAGCGACGCCGCGUGGGGGAUGACGGCCUUCGGGUUGUAAACUCCUUUCGCUAGGGACGAAGCUUUUUGUGACGGUACCUAGAUAAGAAGCACCGGCUAACUACGUG
This 465-nucleotide ribosomal RNA is filed under the name uncultured bacterium. Its description in RNAcentral is "partial 16S ribosomal RNA". It matches the Rfam family "Bacterial small subunit ribosomal RNA", at positions 28 to 507 of the family's 1533-position model. The record is from RNAcentral.